RNAcentral lists this ribosomal RNA (329 nucleotides) under uncultured bacterium. RNAcentral's name for it is "bacterial SSU rRNA". It matches the Rfam family "Bacterial small subunit ribosomal RNA", at positions 568 to 898 of the family's 1533-position model. The record is from RNAcentral.
CGUGUAGGCGGCCUGCCAAGUCAGAUGUGAAAGCCCCGGGCUUAACCUGGGAACUGCAUUUGAGACUGGCAGGCUAGAGGUUGGAAGAGGAGAGUGGAAUUCCCAGUGUAGAGGUGAAAUUCGUAGAUAUUGGGAAGAACACCAGUGGCGAAGGCGGCUCUCUGGUCCACACCUGACGCUGAGGCGCGAAAGCGUGGGGAGCAAACAGGAUUAGAUACCCUGGUAGUCCACGCCGUAAACGAUGUGUGCUAGACGUCGGAUGUUACGCAUUCGGUGUCGCCGCUAACGCAUUAAGCACACCGCCUGGGGAGUACGGCCGCAAGGUUAAA